Molecule: ribosomal RNA, 407 nt
Filed under: uncultured bacterium
Lineage: Bacteria
Description: partial 16S ribosomal RNA
Rfam family: Bacterial small subunit ribosomal RNA
Source: RNAcentral
AUUGAACGCUGGCGGCAGGCCUAACACAUGCAAGUCGAGCGGAGCGGCGGACGGGUGAGUAUUGCCUAGGACUCUGCCUGGUAGUGGGGGAUAACGUCCGGAAACGGGCGCUAAUACCGCAUACUAUCAGCAGAGCCUAGGUCCGAUUAGGUAGUGGGUGGGGUAAAGGCCCACCAAGGCGACGAUCCGUAACUGGGCUGAGAGGAUGAUCAGUCACACUGGAACUGAGACACGGUCCAGACGCCUACGGGAGGCAGCAGUGGGGAAUAUUGGACAAUGGGCGAAAGCCUGAUCCAGCCAUGCCGCGUGUAUGAAGAAGGUCUUCGGAUUGUAAAGCACUUUAAGUUGGGAGGCGUUACCAACAGAAUAAGCACCGGCUAACUUCGUGCCAGCAGCCGCGGUAAUAC